RNAcentral lists this ribosomal RNA (200 nucleotides) under uncultured bacterium. Its description in RNAcentral is "partial 16S ribosomal RNA". It matches the Rfam family "Bacterial small subunit ribosomal RNA", at positions 524 to 721 of the family's 1533-position model. The record is from RNAcentral.
CACGUAGGGUGCGAGCGUUGUCCGGAAUUAUUGGACGUAAAGAGCUCGUAGGCGGUGUGUCGCGUCGGCCGUGAAAACCUGCAGCUUAACUGUGGGCUUGCGGUCGAUACGGGGCAUCACUGGAGUUCGGCAGGGGAGACUGGAAUUCCUGGUGUAGCGGUGAAAUGCGCAGAUAUCAGGAGGAACACCGGUGGCGAAGG